This is a non-coding RNA of Glycine max (soybean), 118 nucleotides long. The record is from Rfam. NCBI's taxonomy places the organism in Eukaryota, Viridiplantae, Streptophyta, Magnoliopsida, Fabales, Fabaceae.
AGGUACAAUCAUAGAAUACUAAUAUACUAAAUUUCAUUAGAACUUCGCGGUUAAAUAUGUUUACACAAAAGUAGUACUAAAAUGAAUAACUUCCUAAAAAGUCCUUGGGUUGCACAUC